This 504-nucleotide ribosomal RNA is filed under the name uncultured bacterium. RNAcentral describes it as "partial 16S ribosomal RNA". It matches the Rfam family "Bacterial small subunit ribosomal RNA", at positions 28 to 507 of the family's 1533-position model. The record is from RNAcentral.
GACGAACGCUGGCGGCGUGCUUAACACAUGCAAGUCGAACGGUGAAGCGCUUGCCUUUUUGGUGGGUGUGGAUGAGUGGCGAACGGGUGAGUAACACGUGAGUAACCUGCCCUCUUCUUCUGGAUAACCUCAUGAAAGUGGGGCUAAUACGGGGUAUUCCGGGUCUGUCGCAUGGCGGGUUUGGGAAAGAUUGCGCCUUUGGGUGUUUUCGGUGGGGGAUGGGCUCGCGGCCUAUCAGCUUGUUGGUGGGGUGAUGGCCUACCAAGGCGGUGACGGGUAGCCGGACUGAGAGGGUGGACGGCCACACUGGGACUGAGACACGGCCCAGACUCCUGCGGGAGGCAGCAGUGGGGAAUAUUGCACAAUGGGCGCAAGCCUGAUGCAGCGACGCCGCGUGAGGGAUGGAGGCCUUCGGGUUGUGAACCUCUUCCGCCAGUGAAGCAGGCCUGCUCCUGUGUGGGUGGGUUGACGGUAGCUGGAUAAGAAGCGCCGGCUAACUACGUG